This 256-nucleotide ribosomal RNA is filed under the name uncultured bacterium. RNAcentral's name for it is "partial 16S ribosomal RNA". It matches the Rfam family "Bacterial small subunit ribosomal RNA", at positions 524 to 769 of the family's 1533-position model. The record is from RNAcentral.
UACGAAGGUCCCAAGCGUUAUCCGGAUUUAUUGGGUUUGAAAGGGUGCGUAGGCGGCUUAUUAAGUCAGUGGUGAAAGCCCCAAGCUUAACUUGGGAACUGACCAUUGAUACUGAUGAGCGUUGAGGUAGAUUUGAGGGCGGGCGGAAUGUGUCGGUGUAGCGGUAGAAAUGCUUAGAUAUGACACAGAACACCAAUUGCGUAGGCAGCUCGGCUAAACUCUUACUGACGCUGAGGCACGAAAAGCAGUGGGGAUC